CAGGAAUUCCUUAUAAUUCCCAAGGACAGGCCAUAGUUGAAAGAACUAAUAGAACACUCAAAACUCAAUUAGUUAAACAAAAAGAAGGGGGAGACAGUAAGGAGUGUACCACUCCUCAGAUGCAACUUAAUCUAGCACUCUAUACUUUAAAUUUUUUAAACAUUUAUAGAAAUCAGACUACUACUUCUGCAGAACAACAUCUUACUGGUAAAAAGAACAGCCCACAUGAAGGAAAACUAAUUUGGUGGAAAGAUAAUAAAAAUAAGACAUGGGAAAUAGGGAAGGUGAUAACGUGGGGGAGAGGUUUUGCUUGUGUUUCACCAGGAGAAAAUCAGCUUCCUGUUUGGAUACCCACUAGACAUUUGAAGUUCUACAAUGAACCCAUUGGAGAUGCAAAGAAAAGGGCCUCCACGGAGAUGUCUGCAGGUGUACCCAACAGCUCCGAAGAGACAGCGACCAUCGAGAACGGGCCAUGAUGACGAUGGCGGUUUUGUCGAAAAGAAAAGGGGGAAAUGUGGGGAAAAGCAAGAGAGAUCAGAUUGUUACUGUGUCUGUGUAGAAAGAAGUAGACAUGGGAGACUCCAUUUUGUUAUGUGUUAAGAAAAAUUCUUCUGCCUUGAGAUUCUGUUAAUCUAUGACCUUACCCCCAACCCCGUGCUCUCUGAAACGUGUGCUGUGUCAACUCAGGGUUGAAUGGAUUAAGGGCGGUGCAGGAUGUGCUUUGUUAAACAGAUGCUUGAAGGCAGCAUGCUCCUUAAGAGUCAUCACCACUCCCUAAUCUCAAGUACCCAGGGACACAAAAACUGCGGAAGGCCGCAGGGACCUCUGCCUAGGAAAGCCAGGUAUUGUCCAAGGUUUCUCCCCAUGUGAUAGUCUGAAAUAUGGCCUCGUGGGAAGGGAAAGACCUGACCGUCCCCCAGCCCGACACCCGUAAAGGGUCUGUGCUGAGGAGGAUUAGUAUAAGAGGAAGGAAUGCCUCUUGCAGUUGAGACAAGAGGAAGGCAUCUGUCUCCUGCCUGUCCCUGGGCAAUGGAAUGUCUCGGUAUAAAACCCGAUUGUAUGCUCCAUCUACUGAGAUAGGGAAAAACCGCCUUAGGGCUGGAGGUGGGACCUGCGGGCAGCAAUACUGCUUUGUAAAGCACUGAGAUGUUUAUGUGUAUGCAUAUCCAAAAGCACAGCACUUAAUCCUUUACAUUGUCUAUGAUGCCAAGACCUUUGUUCACGUGUUUGUCUGCUGACCCUCUCCCCACAAUUGUCUUGUGACCCUGACACAUCCCCCUCUUUGAGAAACACCCACAGAUGAUCAAUAAAUACUAAGGGAACUCAGAGGCUGGCGGGAUCCUCC
This 1345-nucleotide long non-coding RNA is filed under the name Homo sapiens (human). Its description in RNAcentral is "HSALNT0015732". Lineage: Eukaryota; Metazoa; Chordata; Mammalia; Primates; Hominidae. The record is from RNAcentral.